This 25734-nucleotide long non-coding RNA is filed under the name Triticum aestivum (bread wheat). RNAcentral's name for it is "long non-coding RNA (TAES_LNC026544)". Lineage: Eukaryota; Viridiplantae; Streptophyta; Magnoliopsida; Poales; Poaceae. The record is from RNAcentral.
UCAUUUCCUUCUUCAUCUUCUCCUCCCCCUCCUUCCGUGAUGCUCACUCGCCUAUAAAUAGCCCUCGCUGCCUGCCAUUGUUCCUCAAGCCAGCAAGCAAGAAGCACACAGGAAGCUCCUAGCCAACACCAAUCAAGGCCUCCAUCCAAUCCCAAGCAACCUCGAAUAUGUCUUGCUGCGGAGGAAACUGCGGAUGCGGCACCGCCUGCAAGUGCGGCAACGGCUGCGGUGGCUGCAACAUGUACCCCGAGGUUGAGGCCGCCGGCGCCACCCUCCUCGUCUCCGCCACUGCCACUCACAAGGGGUACGUCCCUUCUCUUGACAAAAUUUUCUCCACAGCUCAUACAUCAUCAUGCACUCGAUCUUUUUUUUUUGCGGGGUACGUGCAGGAGCUCCGGCGGCAUGGAGAUGGCGGCCGAGAACGGCGGCUGCGGCUGCACCCAGUGCAAGUGCGGCACCAGCUGCGGCUGCUCCUGCUGCAGCUGCUAGAUCAUUGAUCAUGCAUGCGCCGCGUGCAUCAUAUCUAUGAUCUACGUAUCCAUCUACUACCAUGUAAUGCCACCUGAUCGAGGGUCUUUGUAUGUAUGUAGUAUGUACGCACCUGCCUGCAUGAGCAGAGCGGGUGCCAUUCCAUGCAUGUAAACCCCUAAAUAAAAUCUCCCGUGGUUUUGCUUACAUCGUGUUGUUAGAUCCUCCUCCUAUUAGUGUUGCUUUCGGGUUCUUCUUAUGCACUAGCAGGAUCAGAGGCCGGUCUUUUGUUCUUGGUCUUCUCCUCAAACUGUCGUUUUCCUCUUCUCUAUGGUUCCAUGUGCGGCAGUAUUUUCUUCUUCUGUUGCCGAGUGUUGUAUCAGACUGUACCUUGUUUUGUGGUUUAUUCCUAUCCAUCUCGAAAUAUAGUGCAGGAAUUUAUUUGCAAAAGGUGGAUCUCAACAAGACACGACGGUAUGUGUAUCUUGCAGGAUUUAUUGAUCGGUCUAUCUUAUGCAUCUUAUUAAAAAAAUACAUUAAGGUCUCAUGGUCAAGCCAAAUUAUCAUUGUUUUUCCUUGCAUGCAAAAUGCAGCAAUAAAUCUUCGUCCUUGGCUUGUUUCUCAUUUCACUGCCUACGUUGCAGGUAUCCGACCCUGUUGGAAUCUCCUUUUCUGUCAUUGUGUUCACUUUCUGUGAUGUGAUGUGUGCGCAAAUAUUCCCACAACAACAACAUAAUAAUAAAGCCAUAUACGCAAGCAACCGAAUAAUGGCAAUGAUAUAUUACUGCUCAAGGCGCAUCUCCAAAUCAACCUGUCAUGUCCAUGGCUGCGUCUAAGCACUCGGGGCAGAAAUACUCACUCUCCGCCACUGAUUCAUAUCACCGAAUCCACACGGCCAAAUUACGUCCUCCAUGUUUUAAGCGAUGCCACUAUAUCUCGUGGGAAAAUUGUUUCCACAGUUCGAUAUCCCUCCCUUUGAUGAAAAAAUUCACGCUUGGCUUCUGCAUCACAGAGUGCAGAUAACGAAUAUUGUUUUCUAUGUUCUGAACUGGAACACUAUAUCUUGUGUAAAAAAUUGUGUCAACAAUAUCGAUAUUCCCUCCUAUAAAAUAAAAUCAUCAAUAGCUCACUUCUCUAUAUAACUGGAUGCAAAGUAAUGGGCGGUGUGGAGCACCCAAGACAGCACGCAAAAUAUCGGUGUUAUUUUAACUCCACUACGUAGACAAGUCACUAUAUUUACACAAUUAUGUAAGAAAAAGAGCUCUUUUAUGGUACCCUGUAUUGAAUAUUGACCGUCCAUCUGCAAAGAUCCAAUGGUGGGUACUUAUCUGUACUGGUGAAACUGGAUUAGCAGCAUCGCUAGUACCGCACGUCUCACGUCCACCGGUAUACUGCUCGGAGGGCAUUAUCGGUGACUCUGCAUCACCGGCAGCCGCCCGCCGGGGCUCGCCUCCUCUUCGCCCCCAUGCCCGCUGGGGCGCCUCCUCCCUGCCUUUAAUCCGCUGUGCUAUGCAUGCUUCUAUGGUUUUGGACUUCUGGCAUGGCACCGUGCGCCCCAUCCCCCUUCCACGCUACGGCCGCGAUGUUCUUUGCCGCCCCGCAUGGCUGAGCAGUGAGCACCUUAGCAUCGCGUUUAUUGUGUUGCCUCGUUCAUGACGACAGUGCAUGCCAAACCACCCUGCGUUGACGAUGAGGCCAGGAUGUGUACAACGUCGUGGUCUUCACGGAGAGCUGCGGCUACGAGAGUGCCGGAGCCUGGCGGAACCUCGCCUAUUUUGUGCUAACCAUGCCCUCGCUACGCUCAUGGCCGUCCUCCUUUAUUUUACUACCGCUUGCCUUCAUGAUCGAGCUCUUCAUGGCCUGGAUCACGCUUUACUUUAGCCUCAGCUUGCCGGACGUGGAGCAGCUACUCAUCUGCCUUUGCUGUGAGGUCGACGACCACGUCAUUGUUCAAAAGCUCACCCAGGCAGGGCUCAACAUACCUGUUUCCUCGUCGUCACCCCGCUGUCACAGACUCACAGGAGUGCACGAUGCAUUCCGAAAUAUUGAUUCGCCAGAGCAAUUCCCUUCACGAACACAAGAAGAGCUUUCACCGUCACAUAUACUGCUCCCUCCCCAGUAGCAGUAUAGGGUACCAUAAAAACCCUCAAGAAAAAUAAAUAACUCAGAGAACUGUCUGGCCAUAGAUGGAGCUUUCUACAGAUGGGGACAAGAAUUUGGCACCACCCACUCAAUUUCCCUCUCACCUUUUUGCAUUGCUUUCAUAUGUAAAAAAACAAAAACAAAAUAGUGAGUUGACUUGCGAUCUGCCUUAAAAUGACAAGAUGACGGUUGGGGGUUAAAAAAACAUUCAAAUGCAUUUUAUAUAUUCAUAUGUUUACUUAUUUUGUAUUUGUUUGUGCAUGUCAUAAAAAUCAUCAAUUUCCACAAGCAUACAUAAUACUCAAUGAUCUACAUUGACAAUAGGCUUUGAGAUUUUUCAACGCAUGACAAGAAAAAUCAAAUGAGGUCAGCUGGAAAUUAAAGAUCAGUUUUGACUUCCAAAAAAUUAUGAUCUCUUUUGUCCAAACUUAAAAGGAAUCAUUACAGAAAAUUUGGAGAUUCCAAUUGUUAGAAUAUUUUCCUACAGGACUAGUAGGGCUGGGAACCAUAAUGAUAUUUUCUAUGGCCUAAUUGACAUGUUUAUGUUGAGCCAAAUCUUUUGGAAAUAGUUUCGUUGAUUCAGUGACAACUAUGUGCUUGCACCUAACGCUUGAGAAAAUUCUUGUAUUUUUUCCCUCUUGCAAUAAAUCAACAUCCAUAUUUUACGCAUUUACUCCAUCUUCAAUUCCCACAGAAUUCAACACAGCAUGACCUGAAAUCUGUGUGUUAAGUUUUCCGGUUCCUGUCUUUUUAAAAUGCUGCAAAAGUAUGUGGCAUGUAAUCUUUAAAAAUAGUGGGAGUGUGAUAGUUAUUGAAAUGCAUGUAGGAUGGAAACUAAAAUUUCAGUAAAAUUCAGCUUAUAACACUAAAAUUGAAAAGGUUGCCAAGCCUAUGGCAACCAAGAGCCGCCAAGAUUUCUUAAAUAACAAAUAUUUUCGGCGACCUCCCCCAAAGAAGACAUAGCUUUUUCCUUGUCUUGACAUUCAAAAGCACUGAGUGAGGGGUAUCGGCUGAAUAUAUUCACUAAGGGCAUGCACAAAAGAGAGUUGACUAUUAUUAUUUUGCAAUGCUUUCAGAAUUUAGUUUGAUAUUGGUUUAAUUCAUAGUUCAUAAUUUACCGAGAAAUACCACUACGAGGUCAAGCACCCCUAAACUUGACCGUUAUGGCUGCAUGCAUCAAUGUAUGCCGAGGGCCGCGCGCGGGGGGUCUUGUUUGGAAAAUAAUAAUGAUCUUAUAGUGCAAUGAUUGGUCAUUGCCUAAGGUAUUUCCCUCUGUUCCAAGAUACAAGGUGUAUUUUUUAUUAAAAAAAACAAAAUUCCCUAUGUUUGACCAAAUUUAAAAUAAAACGUCUCUGUGUUUGGAAACCAUUUAUAUUUUUAUAAGCUCGAUCAAACAUAGAAGAUUUGACUUCAGAAAAAAAAAUAGUACAACUUAUAUUAUGAAACGGGAGUUAGUAGGUACACCAAUAAUUCGAUAUACGCACAAAAUGCUGGCUGUAGUUCCUUUCAUGGCUCCUUUGAUGUAAGAAAGAUGCUAGUAGAGACUAGAGACAAAGGGAAUCAAAUUAUGGGAGGAGGCGGCCCUAUCUAUAUUCCUCUUCCCCAAGCGGUUGCUCCCGUCCAUCCUUUGCCAAAAGUGGAGCAUCUCCCAUUUCCUUCUUCAUCUUCUCCUCCUCCUCCUUCCUUCGUAUUCACUCACCUAUAAAUAGCCCUCGCUGCCUGCCAUUGUUACUCAAGCCAGCAAGCAAGAAGCACAAAAGAAGCCAACACCAAUCAAGGCCUCCAUCCAAUCCCAAGCAACCUCGAAGAUGUCUUGCUGCGGAGGAAGCUGCGGCUGCGGCAGCGCCUGCAAGUGCGGCAACGGCUGCGGCGGCUGCAACAUGUACCCCGAGGUCGAGGCCGCCGGCGCCACCCUCCUCGUCGCCGCCACCGCCACCCACAAGGCGUACGUCCCUUCUCCUUCCUCAUAUAUCAUGCACUCGAUCGUAACAAUAUGACUGUAUGUUGAUCUUGGUAUGGGUGGGGUACGUGCAGGAGCUCCGGCGGCAUGGAGAUGGCGGCCGAGAACGGCGGCUGCGGCUGCACCCAGUGCAAGUGCGGCACCAGCUGCGGCUGCUCCUGCUGCAGCUGCUAGAUCAUCGGUCAUGCAUGCACCGCGUGCCUCAUAUCUAUGAUCUAUCUAUAUAUCCAUCUACCACCAUGUAACGCUACCUGAUCACGGUCUUUGUAUGUAUGUACGCACCUGCCUGCAUGAGCAGAGCAGGUGCCAUGCCAUGCAUGUAAACCCCUAAAUAAAAUCUCCCGUGGUUUAACCCCCUAUACAUGUGUUUGUGUUAUAGUCUUAUAGACCAACUUCUGGCCCAUGUUUACUAUGAACUUGCGACUUGCGAGGUGCCUGGGUUGUUAAUAGACCAGCUGGAUGCUCUCUUGAAGCAACGUAUGCACCGCUUGGAGUCGGUGUAUCUUUAUACACAUGUAUUUAUUUUACAGGUGUAUAUCAUCGGCCACACCUGGGAAAAAACGAUGGAUGGAGAAGUGUAAAUUUACAGGGGUAUUGCUCUGUGAAACGAGAAUCGAAUCAGGGCCUUAAGGGUAGGGAUGGCAAUGGGUAGGGUAUGGGCGCGUACGACUUUUUUCUGCCCAAACCCAUACCCAAAUCUUUUUUCUAUACCCAUCUAUUUCAAUAUCCAUGGACACAAAUUGGUACCCAUGCCCAUACCUAUCGGGUAUAUUAUACCCAAUGGAUAUCCAAUGGGUAUAGUAUCUAACAUUGGCAUGAUAAAGGUAAGCCAAGAAAAGGGCCUAAAACUAAAUUUAGGUACUCGGCCAUCACAAUCCGGUUUGCACUUACAUCAAAAUUUUACAAUGUGGAUUGACACACAAAUGUCUUAAUCUUCAUUACAAACUAACUUAAAAAAACAAGUUUCAAACUUGCAAUGCCAAUCACUGUAGGUAUUAUAGGGUUUAAUUUAUUUAUUAAUUUUUCUGGGUAUCCAUUAGGAUACCCAUGGGUAUAAUUUCAUACCCAUACCCUACCCAUGCAUUUUGCGGGUAUGGACACCCAUUACCCAUGGGUAUGAAGUAGUAAAAAGUCUUAUCCAUGCCCACUGUUUUCGGGUAGGGUACCCGCGGGUACCCAUACCCAUGGGCAAAACUGCCAUCCCUACUUAAGGGCGUUUGAUACAUGCGAAUAUUACUGGCCAAAGUUGAGUAUGAGAUACAUACAAUACAAACUUGACACUUUUGAAAGUCGUGCUAUCAAUCAUGAGACGCAUAGUUUAGCCAAAUUCUCGCUUAAUCUUUGUCAAAGGGUGUCACAUCUGGUUUGGCCAACCCCAUGAUCCGAUAUGUAUCCUACUCUCUGUGGUUUUCGAUGAAUAAAAUUUGGUUAAACCCUAAAAAAACUUAUUUGACGCGCCUUAGUUUUUUUCGAGAAUUUUUUUUAAAUCCGUUCAUCAAUCAUGGCAGUACAAAAAUCACAACCAGGUCCAUGAACCACCUAGCGACGACUACACUCACUGGAGCGAGCUAAACGUGCGCCGCCAUUAUCGCCCCUCCCUUACCGGAGUCGGACAAACCUUAUUGUAGUAGACAGUUGGAAAGUUAUCGUGCUAAGACCCUCAAGGACCACCGCACUGCAUAGCAACCAUCGUCGAUGAAAAGAGUUGUAGAUUGGAAAGAUCAAAGCUAUAACCACACAAGCGAAGACGAACAAAAAUGGAUCCAAUAGAUCCACCAAAGUCCAGCACGACAGAAUCCUGUGAGAUCCGGCGGGGACACACCUCCACAUGUCCUCCUCCGAUGUUAUUCGCACCACCGGGACGAGGAUCGGAUGUGGGAGACAUUAUUCCUACCCAGGGACAUCACUACCGUCACACAGCCCCAACCAAGACGUUAAACCUAACAAAAACGAGAACGGGUCCCUCCCGCUGCCGGGGGGCCAAGAUCCUCCGCACUCCGGGGAAUCGGCGCCGGCGGCAACGGGAUGAGAAAGGAAACUUUUCUUGAGAAGGAGGAAAGACAGACACAUACUGUUGUGUCUAAAUUACCGUGUCUUAGUUUGAUGUACUAUUUGCACCAGCUACUUCAUAACUAGAUUGCCAUGGUUGACGAUGGGUGUGUUCCCCUCUACUAAUAGUGCGGCAGUGCCCUAGCGGCGACAACUAUAUCAUGAACAAUUAAAACUUCACGAAAUUGGUGGCCUGGUGACUUAUGCCUGUGCCUAUAUCGCACGCUCUUUUGUGAUGACAAAGAAACAGAUUAUCAUUUUCGGAGGUUAAAUGGAAACAGAUGGAGUGAACCACAUGUAUGUUGUACCAGCAAAACAAUAUUUAAAUCGAUUCGUUGAUGAUUUCCUUGAUAUAAAAUUUGAGGUGUGCUCUACAACACCCCACCCUACCCCCGGAGCUCCUAUUUGGCACGCUAAGCGCUAGCGGUCGAGCCCGUGCGCGUCCCCUUCCCUUGCACACCCAUUUGGGUCGGCCCAUGCGCGGGGCGGGACACGCCGUUUUUAUUUUUUAUUUUUCUUUUAUUUAUUUUUUAAAUAAUUCAGGAUUUCAAAAAGUUUCAAAUUUAAAAAAAAUGUCAACUUUGAAAAAACAAAGAAAUCAUAAAAUGUUCAUGGAUUCAAAAAAUAUCUUGAAUUUGAAAGACAUGUCCGGACAUUCCCAAAAUGUUCAUAAAUUUGAACAAAAUGUUCACAAAUUAAAAAACAUGUUCAGAAAACUAAAUAAAUGAUUCUCAAUUACGAAAAUAUUGAAAAAUCAAAAAAUGUUCGUUGAUUCAAAAAAUGUUAAUUAAUUUCGAAAAAUAUUUGUCAAACAAAUAGUAUUCAUGAAUGUCAAAAAUUGUUCCCAGAUUUCAAAAACUAUUUCUUGUCAAAAAUUAUUCAGCAAUUCAAAUGUCCAUGAGUUUUAAAACAAUGUUUACAAUUUUAAAAAAUUCUUAGAUAUAAAAAAAUGUUUGUGAAUUCAAAAAAUAUUCAAGAUUAAAUUAAAUUCAUGAAUUUUUAAACAUGUUCAUGAAUUUGAAAAAUAAUCACAACAAAACAAUGUUCAUGCAAUUGGAAAAUGCUCACAAUUUAAAUAAUGUUAAAAAUCAUUAAAAAGUUCAUAAAUUUGAAAAUAAGUUCAAAAAAUGAAAGACUGAAAAAAGAAAAGAAAAACUGACAUCAAAAUAGGAAAAUAUAAAUAAGGUAAAAACGAAAACGAAAAAUAGAAAUGAAAUAAUGAAAAUGAAAAAACAAAAAUAACCCGAAAGGAAAAAACUGGUAUGGAAAGGUUCUAGAACGUUCCCAAAACCGAAAAGGAGGUACUUGGGCCGCCCCAAAAUGUGUACCUAGUGGGAGGGGCGUAUGCGCUAGGAUUAGCCCCCUAAAAAGCUUCACAACUUUUGAGCAGAUCAAUGGUCUAGAUUAAAACAUGUCCUUUACUUUAGAAGGGGUAAUAUAAAAAAUUCACAUUAUAAAAACACUUGCAAUAAAAAAGAUAACGGGCGCUCUAGAAACCCAUGGCGGCUAGUGCGACUUGUUUGGAGCUAUUCGUCUCCUUCCCAACCCUUAUCCACUACCCCGGUCGUCCAUGUAUCUGUCAAAAGUGUUAGAUGAAGGAAAUAUGCCCUAUAGGCAAUAAUAAAGUUAUUAUUUAUUUCCUUAUUUCAUGAUAAAUGUUUAUUAUUCAUGCUAGAUUUGUAUUAACCGGAAACAUAAUACAUGUGUGAAUACAUAGACAAACAUAGUGUCACUAGUAUGCCUCUACUUGACUAGCCCGUUAAUCAAAGAUGGUUAAGUUUCCUAACCAUAGACAUGAGUUGUCAUUUGAUUAACGAGAGCACAUCAUUAGGAGAAUGAUAUGAUUGACUUGACCCAUUCCGUUAGCUUAGCACUUGAUCGUUUAGUAUUCUGCUAUUGCUUUCUUCAUGACUUAUACAUGUUCCUAUGACUAUGAGAUUAUGCAACUCCCGUUUACCGGAGGAACACUUUGUGUGCUAUCAAACGUGACAACGUAACUGGGUGAUUAUAAAGGUGCUCUACAGGUGUCUCCGAAGGUACUUGUUGGGUUGGCGUAUUUCGAGAUUAGGAUUUGUCACUCCGAUUGCCGGAGAGGUAUCUCUGGCCCACUCGGUAAUACACAUCACUUAAGCCUUGCAAGCAUUGCAACUAAUGAGUUAGUUGCGGGAUGAUGUGUUAUGGAACGAGUAAAGAGACUUGCCGGUAACGAAAUUGAACUAGGUAUUGAGAUACGGACGAUCGAAUCUCGGGCAAGUAACAUACCGAUGGCAAAGGGAACAACGUAUGUUGUUAUGCGGUUUGACCGAUAAAGAUCUUCGUAGAAUAUGUAGGAGCCAAUAUGAGCAUCCAUGUUCCGCUAUUGGUUACUGACCGGAGACGUGUCUCGGUCAUGUCUACAUAGUUCUCGAACCCGUAGGGUCCGCACGCUUAAAGUUCGAUGACGGUUAUAUUAUGAGUUUAUGGUUUUUGAUGUACCGAAGGUAAUUCGGAGUCCUGGAUGUGAUCACGGACAAGACGAGGAGUCUCGAAAUGUUUGAUACGUAAAGAUCAAUAUAUUGGACGACUAUAUUUGGAUAUCGGAAUGGUUCCGGGUGAGAUCAGGAUAAUACCGGAGCACCGGGAGGUUAUUGGAACCCUCCCCCCCGGAGGUAUAUGGGCCUUAAUGGGCUUUAGUGGAAAGGAGGGAAAAGGAGCAAGGGAGGGGGCGCCCCCCCCCCCCCCAAGCCCAAUCCGAAUAGGGAAGGGGGCCACCCCCCUUUCCUUCCUCCCUCCUUCCUCUUCCUUCCCUCCCCCUCUCCAAAUAGGAAAAGGAGGAGUCCUACUCCCGAUGGGAGUAGGACUCCCCCCUUGGGCGCGCCUCCUCCCCUUGACCAGCCCUCUCCUCCCCUCCUUUAUAUACGGAGGAGAGGGGCACCCCAUAGACAGAACAAUUGAUCUCUUGGAUCUUUUAGCCGUGUGCGGUGCCCCUCUCCACCAUAGUCCACCUCGAUAAUAUCGUAGCGGUGCUUAGGCGAAGCCCUGCGACGGUAGAACAACAUCGUCACCACGCCCUCGUGCUGAUAGAACUCUCCCUCACAGCUCGGCUGGAUAGGAGUUCGAGGGAUGAAACCGAGUUGAACGUGUGCAGAACUCGGAGGUGCCGUGCGUUCGGUACUUGAUCGGUCGGAUCGUGAAGACAUACGACUACAUCAACCGCGUUGUGCUAAUGCUUCCGCUUUCGGUCUACAAGGGUACGCGGACACACUCUCCCCUCUCGUUGCUAUGCAUCACCAUGAUCUUGCAUGUGCGUAGGAAAUUUUUUGAAAUUACUACGUUACCCAACAGUGGUAUCAGAGCCAGGUUUUAUGCGUUGAUGUUAUAUGCACGAGUAGAAAACAAGUGAGUUGUGGGCGAUACAAGUCAUACUGCUUACCAGCAUGUCAUACUUUGGUUCGGCGGUAUUGUUGGAUGAAGCGGCCCGGACCGACAUUACGCGUACGCUUACGCGAGACUGGUUCUACCGACGUGCUUUGCACACAAGUGGCUGGCGGGUGUCAGUUUCUUCAACUUUAGUUGAACCGAGUGUGGCUACGCCCGGUCCUUGAGAAGGUUAAAACAGCACUAACCUGACGAACUAUCGUUGUGGUUUUGAUGCGUAGGUAAGAACGGUUCUUGCUCAGCCCGUAGCAGCCACGUAAAACUUGCAACAACAAAGUAGAGAACGUCUAACUUGUUUUUGCAGGGCAUGUUGUGAUGUGAUAUGGUCAAGACAUGAUGCUAUAUUUUAUUAUAUGAGAUGAUCAUGUUUUGUAAUCGAGUUAUCGGCAACUGGCAAGAGCCAUAUGGUUAUCGCUUUAUUGUAUGCAAUGCAAUCGCCCUGUAAUUGCUCUACUUUAUCACUAGGCGGUAGCGAUAGUCAUAGAAGCAAUAGUUGGCGAGACGACAAUGAUGCUACGAUGGAGAUCAAGGUGUCGCACUGGUGACGAUGGUGAUCAUGACGGUGCUUCGGAGAUUGAGAUCACAAGCACAAGAUGAUGAUGGCCAUAUCAUAUCACUUAUAUUGAUUGCAUGUGAUGUUUAUCUUUUAUGCAUCUUAUUUUGCUUUGAUUGACGGUAGCAUUAUAAGAUGAUCUCUCACUAAAUUUCAAGAUAAAAGUAUUCUCCCUGAGUAUGCACCGUUGCCAAAGUUCGUCGUGCCCAGACACCAUGUGAUGAUCGGGUAUGAUAAGCUCUAUGUCCAUCUACAACGGGUGCAAGCCAGUUUUGCACACGCAGAAUACUCAGGUUAAACUUGACGAGCCUAGCAUAUGCAGAUAUGGCCUUGGAACACCGAGACCGAAAAGUCGAGCUUGAAUCAUAUAGUACAUAUGAUCAACAUAAUGAUGUUCACCAUUGAAAACUACUCCAUUUCACGUGAUGAUCAGUUAUGGUUUAGUUGAUUUGGAUCACAUGAUCACUUAGAUGAUUAGAGAGAUGUCUAUCUAAGUGGGAGUUCUUAAAGUAAUAUGGUUAAUUGGACUUUAAUUUAUCUUGAACUUAGUCCUGGUAGUAUUAGCAUAUCUAUGUUGUAUAUCAAUAGCUCGCGUUUAGCUCCCCUGUUUUAUUUUUGAUAUGUUCCUAGAGAAAACUAAGUUGAAAGAUGUUAAUAGCAAUGAUGCGGAUUGGAUCCGUGAUCUGAGGAUUAUCCUCACUGUUGCACAGAAAUAUUAUGUCCUUGAUGCACCGCUAGGUCACAGACCUAUUGCAGGAGCAGAUGCUGACGUUAUGAACAUUUUGACAAAAGCUCGGUAUGAUGACUACUUGAUAGUUUAGUGCACCAUGCUUUACGACUUAGAACCGGGACUUCAAAAAUGUUUUGAACGCCACGGAGCAUAUAAGAUAUUCCAAGAAUUGAAAUUGGUAUUUCAUACUCAUGCCAGUGUCGAGAGGUAUGAGACCUCUGACAUUACUUUGCCUACAAGAUGGAGGAGAAUAGCUCAACCAGUAAGCAUGUGCUCAGAUUGUCUGAGUACUACAAUCACUUGAAUCAAGUGGGAGUUAAUCUUCUAGAUAAUAUAGUGAUUGACAGAGUUCUCUAGUCACUAUCACCAAGUUGUUAGAACUUCAUGAUGAACUAUAAUAUGCAAGGGAUAACGGAAACGAUUCCCAAGCUCUUCAUGAUGCUGAAAUCGACGAAGGUAAAAAUCAAGAAAAGCAUCAAGUGUUGAUGGUUAACAAGACCACUAUUUUCAAGAAAAGGGCAAAUGGAAUAAGGGGAAUUUCAAGAAGAACGGCAAGCAAGUUGCUGCUCAAGUGAAGAAGCCCAAAUCUAGACCUAAGCCUGAGACUAAGUGCUUUUACUGCAAAGGGACUAGUCACUGGAAGUGGAACUGCCCCAAGUAUUUGGCAGAUAAGAAGGAUGGCAAAGUGAACAAAGGUAUAUUGGAUAUACAUGUUAUUGAUGUGUACUUUACUAGUGUUUAUAGCAACCCCUCAGUAUUUGAUACUAGUUCAGUUGCUAAGAGUAGUAACUUGAAAUGGUAGUUGGACAAUGAACAGAGACUAGUUAAGGGUGGAGCAACGAUGUGUGUUGGAAGUAGUUCCAAGAAUGAUAUGAUCGUCAUCGCACACUCCCUAUACUUUCAGGAUUAGUGUUGAACCUAAAUAAGUGUUAUUUGGUGUUUUCGUUGAGCAUGAAUAUGAUUUGAUCAUGUUUAUUGCAAUACGGUUAUUCAUUUAAGUUAGAGAAUAAUUGUUAUUCUGUUUACAUGAAUAAAACCUUCUAUGGUUAUACACCCAAUGAAAAUGGUUUGUUGAAUCUUGAUUGUAGUGAUACACAUAUUCAUAAUAUUGAAGCCAAAAGAUGCAAAGUUAAUAAUGAUAGUGCAACUUAUUUGUGGCACUGUCGUUUAGGUCAUAUUGGUGUAAAGCGCAUGAAGAAAAUCCAUGCUGAUGGGCUUUUGGAAUCACUUGAAUAUAAAUCAGUUGAUGCUUGCGAACCAUGCCUCAAGGGUAAAGAGGACUAAGACUCCGUUCUCCAGAACAAUGGAGCGAGGAACUGACUUAUUGGAUAUAAUACAUACUGAUGUAUGAGGUCCGAUGAGUGUUGAGGCUCGCGGCGGGUAUCGUUAUUUUCUGACCUUCACAGAUAAUUUGAGCAGAUAUGGGUAUAUCUACUUGAAGAAACAUAAGUCCGAAACAUUUGAAAAGUUUAAAGAAUUUCAGAGUGAAGUGGAAAAUCAUCGUAACAAGAAAAUAAAGUUUCUACGAUCUGAUCGUAGAGGCAAAUAUUUGAGUUACGAGUUUGGUCUUCAAUUAAAACAAUAUGGAAUAGUUUCACAAACUCAUGCCACCUGGAACACCAUAGCGUAAUGGUGUGUCCGAAAGUCAUAACUGUGCUUUAUUUGAUAUAGUGCAAUCUAUGAUGUCUCAUACCGAUUUACCACUAUCAUUUUGGGGUUAUGCAUUAGAGAUAGCUGCAUUCACAUUAAAAAGGGCACCAUCUAAAUCUGUUGAGAUAACACCGUAUGAACUGUGGUUUAGCAAGAAACCUAAGGUGUCGUUUCUUAAAGUUUGGGGUUGCGAUGCUUAUGUGAAAAAGGUUUAUCUUGAUAAGCUCAAACCCAAAUCGAAGAAGUGCGUCUUCAUAGGAUACCCAAAAGUAACUGUUGGGUACACCUUCUAUCACAGAUCCGAAGGCAAGAUAUUUGCUGCUGAGAAUAGAUCCUUUCUAGAGAAGGAGUUUCUCUCGAAAGAAGUGAGUGGGAGGAAAGUAGAACUUGAUGAGGUAACUGUACCUGCUCCCUUAUUGGAAAGUAGUUCAUCACAGAAAUCUGUUUCUGUGACUCCUACACCAAUUAGUGAGGAAACUAAUGAUGAUGAUCAUGUAACUUCAGAUCAAGUUAUUACCAAACCUCUUAGGUCAACCAGAGUGAGAUCCGCACCAGAGUGGUACGGUAAUCCUGUUCUGGAGGUCACGUUAAUUGACCAUGACGAACCUACGAACUAUGAGGAAGCGAUGAUGAGCCCAGAUUCCGCGAAAUGGCUUGAGGCAUGAAAUCUAAUAUGGGAUCCAUGUAUGAGAACAAAGUGUGGACUUUGGUUAACUUGCCCGAUGAUCGGCAAGCCAUAGAAAAUAAAUGGAUCUUCAAGAGGAAGACGGACAGUGAUAGUAGUGUUGCUAUCUACAAAGCUCGAAUUGUCGCAAAAUGUUUUCGACAAGUUCAAGGUGUUGACUACGAUGAGAUUUUCUCACUCGUAUCGAUGCUUAAGUCCGUCCGAAUCAUGUUAGCAAUUGCCGCAUUUUAUGAUUAUGAAAUUUGGCAAAUGGAUGUAAAGACUGCAUUCCUGAAUGGAUUUCUGGAAGAAGAGUUGUAUAUGAUGCAACCUGAAGGUUUUGUCGAUCCUAAAGGUGCUAACAAAGUGAGCAACCUCCAGCGAUCCAUCAAUGGACUGGUGCAAGCUUCUCGAAGUUGGAAUAAACGUUUUGAUAGUGUGAUCAAAGCAUAUGGUUUUAUACAGACUUGCGGUGAAGCCUGUAUUUACAAGAAAGUGAGUGGGAGCACUACAACAUUUCUAAUAAGAAGUGUGAAUGACAUAUUGUUGAUCGGAAAUAAUGUAGAAUUUUCUGGAAAGCAUAAAGAAGUAUUUGAAAUGAGUUUCUCAAAUAAAGACCUCGAUGAAGCUACUUACAUAUUGAGCAUCAAGAUCUAUAGAGAUAGAUCAAGACGCUUGAUAAGUUUUUUCAAUGAGUGCAUACCUUGACAAGAUUUUGAAGUAGUUCAAAAUGGAACAGUCAAAGAAAGAGAUCUUACCUGUGUUACAAGGUGUGAAAUUGAGUAAGACUCAAAGCCCGACCACGGCAGAAGAUAGAAAGAGAAUGAAAGUCAUUCCCUAUGCCUCAACCAUAGUUUCUAUAAAGUAUGCCAUGCUGUGUACCAGAUCUAUUGUAUACCCUACACUGAGUUUAGCAAUGGAAUACAAUAGUGAUCUAGGAGUAGAUCACUGGAUAGCGGUCAAAAUUAUCCUUAGUGGAAUAAGGAAAUAUUUCUCGACUAUGGAGGUGAUAAAAGAGUUCGUCGUAAAGAGUUACGUCGAUGCAAGCUUUUUACAUCGAUCUAGAUGACUCUAAGUCUCGAUCUGGAUACAUAUUAAAAGUGGGAGCAAUUAGCUAGAGUAGCUCCAUGCAAAGCAUUGUUGACACAGAAAUUUUCAAAAUACAUAUGGAUCUGAAUGUGGCAGACCCGUAGACUAAACUUCUCUCACAAGUAAAACAUGAUCACACCUUAGUACUCUUUGGGUGUUAAUCGCAUAGCGAUGUGAACUAGAUUAUUGACUCUAGUAAACCCUUUGGGUGUUGAUCACAUGACGAUGUGAACUAUGGGUGUUAAUCACAUGGUGAUGUGAACUAUUGGUGUUAAAUCACAUGGCGAUGUGAACUAGAUUAUUGACUCUAGUGCAAGUGGGAGACUGAAGGAAAUAUGCCCUAGAGCCAAUAAUAAAGUUAUUAUUUAUUUCCUUAUUUCAUGAUAAAUGUUUAUUAUUCAUGCUAGAUUUGUAUUAACCGGAAACAUAAUACAUGUGUGAAUACAUAGACAAACAUAGUGUCACUAGUAUGCCUCUACUUGACUAGCUCGCUAAUCAAAGAUGGUUAAGUUUCCUAACCAUAGACAUGAGUUGUCAUUUGAUUAACGGGAUCACAUCAUUAGGAGAAUGAUAUGAUUGACUUGACCCAUUCCGUUAGCUUAGCACUUGAUCGUUUAGUAUUCUGCUAUUGCUUUCUUCAUGACUUAUACAUGUUCCUAUGACUAUGAGAUUAUGCAACUCCCGUUUACCAGAGGAACACUUUGUGUGCUACCAAACGUCACAACGUAACAGGGUGAUUAUAAAGGUGCUCUACAGGUGUCUCCGAAGUUACUUGUUGGGUUGGCGUAUUUCGAGAUUAGGAUUUGUCACUCCGAUUGUCGGAGAGGUAUCUCUGGCCCCUCGGUAAUACACAUCACUUAAGCCUUGCAAGCAUUGCAACUAAUGAGUUAGUUGCGGGAUAAUGUGUUAUGGAACGAGUAAAGAGACUUGCCAGUAACGAGAUUGAACUAGGUAUUGAGAUACCGACGAUCGAAUCUCGGGCAAGUAACAUACCGAUGGCAAAGGGAACAACGUAUGUUGUUAUGCGGUUUGACCGAUAAAGAUCUUCGUAGAAUAUGUAGGAGCUAAUAUGAGCAUCCAUGUUCCGCUAUUGGUUAUUGAACGGAGACGUGUCUCAGUCAUGUCUACAUAGUUCUCGAACCCGUAGGGUCCGCACGCUUAAAGUUCGAUGACGGCUAUAUUUUGAGUUUAUGGUUUUUGAUGAACCGAAGGUAAUUCAGAGUCCUGGAUGUGAUCACGGACAAGACGAGGAGUCUCGAAAUGUUCGAGACGUAAAGAUCGAUAUAUUGGACGACUAUAUUUGGAUACCAGAAUGGUUCCGGGUGAGAUCGGGAUAAUACCGGAGCACCGGGAGGUUAUCGGACCCCCCCGGAGGUAUAUGGGCCUUAAUGGGCUUUAGUGGAAAGGAGGUAAAAGGAGAAAGGGAGGGGGCGCCCCCCCCCCCCCAAGCCCAACCCGAACUGGGAAGCCCCCCCCCUUUCCUUCCUCCCUCCUUCCUCUUCCUUCCCUCUCCCUCUCCAAAUAGGAAAAGGAGGAGUCCUACUCCCGGUGGGAGUAGGACUCCCCCCUUGGGCGCACCUCCUCCCCUUGGCCGGCCCUCUCCUCCCCUCCUUUAUAUACGGAGGAGAGGGGCACCCCAUAGACACAACAAUUUAUCUCUUGGAUCUUUUUGCUGUGUGCGGUGCCCCUCUCCACCAUAGUCCACCUCGAUAAUAUUGUAGCGGUACUUAGGCGAAGCCCUGUGACGGUAGAACAUCAACAUCGUCACCACGCCGUUGUGCUGAAGGAACUCUCCCUCAAAGCUCGGCUGGAUCGGAGUUUGAGGGACGUCAUCGAGUUGAACGUGUGCAGAACUCAGAGGUGCCGUGCGUUCGGUACUUGAUCGGUCGGAUCGUGAAGACAUACGACUACAUCAACCGCAUUGUGCUAAUGCUUUCGCUUGCGGUCUACAAGGGUACACGGACACACUCUCCCCUCUCGUUGUUAUGCAUCACCAUGAUCUUGCGUGUGCGUAGGAUUUCUUUUUAAAUUACUAUGUUACCCAACAUUAGACUCCUCCACUUUAUCUUACUCCUCACAUUCCCAUCAUCCGACAUAGUAUGACGACAUCUCAGCCCCUUGUAUUCACAUCACACGGUGUUCAAAUCGCACGAGCCACGAGGCCUUGUUUUUUAAACAGAAGUGGUGUACCCAAGCACCCCUAAUGAAAUUGGCGUUCCCUUGAUCCAAAGAAAAAAAGAGUAAAAAGAAACCAAACACUCCCCCCCCCACAUACACCUCCAGCGUUCCUAUGCACCGAAUUGUACACAACCAAUAGUUUCUACAUUGCUACACAUGAAUGAUGCUUACAGUUGAAAUAAAAGGCAACUCAUUGUCGCUUACAACUAAAUAGCAAAAGGAUACUAGGAGUAGAGUUUGACAUAGGCUAGAGUAAGUGCAUUAUAUAUCCUUAUUUCUGUUUCGCAAUUUUUUUUCCUUAUUUCUAGUGUGUGAUUGCCACCCAAGAUUGCAAUAGAACACCAGGUCAACUGACAAUCCAAUCCCUGGUGUUCUAUUAUAUGUCGAGUUAAAUACUAAAAAGUGCUACUAGGAGUAGAGUAUGAGAUGAACGAGAGUAAGUGCAUUAUGUAUAUCCUCAAUUAUAGUGUGCGGUCACCACCCAAGAUUGCAACAGAACACCAAUUUGGCUGACGAAACCAAUCUAGUCCAAUCGCUUAUUGAACUAAAAGUCGGUAUAUGUACUUAGGAGUUGCCUAACUAAAGCAUGCGGUUCAACUUGAUAGAUCUAGUAAGAUUCAACUCGAUAAUCGUUUAAUUCCUAAUGGUUUCUAUAAAAAAUAGUUACAAUAACUAACUCAAACGAAAUAUAAGCGAACAAUCAAACAUCGACCGGCUCACAUGGCUUCCAAAUAAAACUAAUUAACAGAUCGAGUAAUACAUUGUUUAUUCCUUGCUCUUAAUAUGAGGUUAUACAUAACAUAUUUUGGUCCAUCCUGAAGUAAGUAUUACGUAACAAGUACUAGCUAGUAUUUCAGUCUCUACUAGCAAAUGUUGCAAUAGCAAACAGCCUUGAUGGCGUUCUUCUUAUCACAGUGGUAGUCCUUGAGGCUGCCCUUCCUAUCACGUGCAAACACGUCACACGUGGCCUUGCAUAGAGGCUUGGUGCAGAAAAACUCCCCGCCGUCGUCAACGACCGCGAAAUUGUGCUGCACAACACCAAGAAAACACAAACCAUUAUAUUAGAAUAUUAGCGACAAACCCCCAUUAGAUUAGAUUAUACGUAUUUGACAAACACAAUUAAACACACCUGCAGAAAUAGGAGUACCCACAAGUGUUAGCACCACGAGGAAGCAAACAAUAGCAGCCCGUGUGUCCAUCCCAAGAGUUCUCUCCUUUUUUGAACUAGAAGGAAAAAUAUGUGUUCUCUUCGUCUAUUUUAAUUUGGCUAUGGGACUAAUGUUUAUGUCUUGAAGUGCUUGGAGUGUUGUCUUAUAUAGACUUAUUGAAAGGGACAAAAAUAAAAGCAUUUAAAUGAUUGUUAAACUUAGCAAAAGAGAUAGAGGUGAGUCACACCCCAAAAAUGGAAGCACUUAAUGCUGGGUGAGAAAUUAAAUGACGAAGGCAAAGAAUAUAUGAGUGAUGUUUAUCCAAUAAUCAAGGCUUUAAUUUUCGACUACAAAAUAAGCAUGACCAUUCAAAAAAUGGAGUCAUCUUUUUGUCGCUGGUGACAUUGAUCAAACAUGGUUUUUUAUAAAAAAAAAUGUAUAGCCACUUUAAUUGCAAACACCAUUGUGCAUUGAAAUUCAGUUGACUUCAACAAAACAAUCAAUAUGAAUUGCAUGCUUGAUAUGUAACCAACUAAAACUAAAAUUGUAUGUUGUCUCGAGUUGACUAAAUCACCAUUUUUGGCUAGACAAUGUUUAAAACUGUGUCAACUGUGUCAAUUUGCACGGCGCCUGGGACAAUGCAAUGUCAAAUCUUGCACUAUUUUAAACCACCACAAGAUAAGCAAGCUGAGUUGGCCCGGGCCUCUUGCCAGACGCUGGCAUCCACCUCGAAAUCUAUAUCAAUAUAUUUUUUGUAUCACAUGAAUCAUAUAGUAUUGGUCUAAAAUAUAUUUUCUCUUGUUGCAAAAUAUGAAAGAAAAAUCGGCACAACAAUAUUAUAUAGACCCAUCGCAACAAUAGCAUGCUUCACAGUCGGUGGGUCCCAUGUAAAGACAUUUGGAAAUACCUCAAAAAUGCAUAUGUGUACUAUUUAUUAUUGUCCAAGAAUUUCACAUGCUCACUCACAACAAACUGUUGAAGAAUUCCGUGCAACUUAGAAACUAACGUAUGCAACAACGCGAGCACAACAUUUGUGUUAGGACUAACAAAAUUACAUUACAUUGUAGCAUGUCACACAUGUGUAUGUAGUAUGACGCAAAUGAGUUCACAGCAUACCAAAACAACGAAUGGUAACUACAAAAAAUUCCCAUAAAUCUAACAUUUUACAACCAAAAAAUUUGGUGGGCACUGACCUCACCUCAUCAAACUUGCUCUAAUAUUCUAGUUAGUGUAGAGUUUUGGAUUAAGCUAAAGUUGCUCUAGUAUUAUGCCACAACAAAAAGGAAAGAAAUGGGGGAAAACAAAGAAGAGCGGAGCAGGGUGGCUUACUCGGAUCUAAGUCGGCCAAUAUCAAUCGCAUUGCCCUCCUAAAUCCUGAUUACUCAAGCCAGCCCAAAAUUGAGGGGCUACUAAAAUAGAAGUUGAGCCUAUGGUGCAAGAACAGAAAAGCCAUUGGAUUGGAUAUGGAUAGCACAUGAUCUGGUGGAGCGAUCUCAGGCCACUUUUUGUAUAUUUUAUGAAAAAACCCUAUUAACAGUUAGGUACAAAACAAAACAUUCGCAGUGACCACCUUAAGUAUCUCAUCUCCCAAUCCAAUAGUGGAGUUAACGACCAUUUACAGAUUUCAGGUUUUUUCCAGCGACCAUUUAUAGAAUUUGCACAACCUCAUAUCCUAUCAGUUUUAUAAAAUAUAUUUUCACAUACCGAGCACAAAUAUAUGGUUGUAAGAAUGAAGAACUCAUACUCAUGCUUGUUUUAAUUCUAGUAUUUACACCCCUAAGGUUGUUAAGGUCCGGUUACAAAAACUCGAAUUUAAUUCUCUUAUAAGAACUUGUUAGAGUCCUGUCAUAGUGCACAUCCUCUCGUGGAUUCGAUAACUCAAGGUUGCUCCUUCGGGAAAAGGGAGGGAAACCUUUGUUGUCCAAACCGGAUCUCAAAGAGCACCACCCAUCUCUCACCCUACUCGAUGAUACAACAUCGACGACCAGGUACGUGUGUAACCAACCGUCUGCUCCCUCGCUCUGUCACUGUGGUGCUAUUCAUUACAUCAAGUCGGGACCCAUUUCCUUCCUUUUGAGGUUAACAAUUAAGGUUUCUAGUCUAUAUGAGGGCCUUCGGAUUCAACUUAUAAGAAUGUUAGUUCAAAUUUAAUGAUGAUUAUUUCAAGUGGAUGGUUAUGUGAACUAGGUUGGUAGAGUGGUGGCCGACCACUGUUGCGGCGGACUUCAGGGAUGUUUGAUCUAUCCACCUGGCUUGAUCAAGCAGCGUCGACAUUUGUGCAUCAUUAUUUUGUUGAAUAUGUUCGUUCGAUUUGCUUGUUGCAGGGGUGAUAGCCUCUGGUCCGACGUUUGGUUACACGAGACAAUAAGCUCCCCUUGCAAAAGUGUAUGAUGUGGGAAUUACGUGUUGUACUCCUCAGGUGCAAACGCACGUAUAUAUGAUGUACAGGAGUAGGCCACGACCUCAAUUAUACAAGGCAACUAGGAGGUGGGCCCAAUACACAAAUAUGCACAACAAAGACUGGACCGGAACUCCUCAAAAUGAUGCCGUAGGCAAGUCCUUGGUCAUGGUAUAUGCAAAUUGUUGGGAAGUAGGGACGUGUAAAACACGAAUAUGGCCAAGGGCCACCUAUUCCCGAACAAAAUGAAUAUCCAACUCAAUAUGCUUGGUCCGUCGAUGAUGCACCGGGUUAGCGGAGAGGUAGACUGCCGAGACGUUGUCGCAAUAGACCACCGUGGCACGGUCAACAGGGAAAGAGAGCUCCUGAAGCAGCUGGCGAAGCCACGAACACUCGGCGACGGUGUUGGCCACCGCAGGAUACUCAGCCUCAGCGUUGGAACGAGAGACCGUAGGCUGCCGCGUGGAUGACCACGAGAUAAGUGAGGGUCCAAGGUAGACACAAUAGCCCGAGGUGGAGCGACGAGUUUUAGGGCAGCCCGCCCAGUCUGCAUUGAAGUAGGCGGCGAGGGCAGUGUCGGCGGAGGCAUGAAGCGUGACACCAAGAUCCAUAGUGCCACAGACAUAGCGGAGAAUCCGUUUGACAACGGCCCAGUGCAUCUCGAGGAGCAUGCAUAUGAAGACACACCUGCUGCACGACAUACUGGAUCUCUGGUUGAGUUAAAGUGAGGUACUGAAGAGCACCAACAAUAGACCGAUAAAAAGCAGCAUCCGAAGCAGGAGAACCAUCCGUGGCAGAAAGCUUGGCCUUUGUAUAAACAGGCGUAGCAGCGGGCUUGUAGUUAAGCAUGUUGGCCCGCUCCAGGAGCUCAUGAGCAUACUUCCGCUGAUGAAAGAAGAAGCCAUCCGGACGGCACACCACCUCGACACCGAGGAAGUUGUGCAAAGGACCCAAGUCCUUGAUGGCAAACUCAGCGCGAAGACGAGCCAUGAGCUGACCGAGGAGACCAACCAUACAUGCCGUCAGGAUGACGUCGUCGACAUAGAGCAGAAAGUAGGCCGUGUUAGAGCCCUGAUGAUAGACGAAGAGCGAGGCGUCCGAGCGGGUGGAGCGGAACCCAAGCUGGUGGAGAAACGCUGCGAUGCGCUGGUACCAAGCACGCAGAGCCUUCUUAAGUUCAUACAAGGACCGCGAAAGCAGGCACACGUGGUCGGGAAGCGCCGGGUCAACAAACCCGGUGUGCUGCUGGCAGAAGACCUGCUACUCCAGGUGACCAUGGAGCAAGGCGUUGGAGACGUCCAUCUGGUGCACCGGCCAAGCACGGGAGACUGCAAGGUGGAGAACCGUGUGUAUCGUGUCGGGCUUGACGACCAGAGCGAAGGUGUCGAUGAAGUCGAUGCCAGCACGCUGUCGGAAGCCACGAACGACCCAACGCGGUUUGUAGCGAUCAAAGGUACCAUCGGGACGGAGGUUGUGUUUGAAGACCCACUUCCCGGUAAUCACGUUGGCGUGCUGAGGACAGGAAACAAACAUAGAAGAUUUGACUUUAGAAAAAAAAUAGUACAACUUAUCUAUACCUAAUAUUAAAGGACGGAGAUUUUUAUAGUUCUCCAUACAUCUAACUUUAUUAAUAGUCUUCAUCGGCCCACCGGAGCAAGACAAUAAGUAGGCCUGGAAACACUCGAUUCAAUGGGCCUGAAAAAUAAACGGGCAUGCAUCCUCUCUCGCUCAUCUCUCUCCUCUCGAACCCCUCAUAAAAAAUUUCUCUCCUCUCGAUCCCUUCGCUCUCUACUACGAGCGCUCCUGGGGCAGACAUGUUCUCCCUUCUCUCUACCGCUGCGGAUGGCCCAACUUGACUCCGAGACGAACUCUGCUCGAGCACGCACCCAUAGGGUGUCCCGACAGGUUCUUUGCGGUUCCGCAGGCUGGUCUAGGAACAUAUAGAAACAAAUUGACGCCAUCAAACGAAGCCCCAGCUCAAUUGCCUGGUUGCGGAGUGCGGCGGCAUGUCGAGCCGAACGCCGGCAAGAUCAUACAGGAUGAGGCAGUAGAUGCCAACGAUAGUGUGCGUCACCCAACUCGACGCAGGCGAGGAAGAUGAGCAGGACGGCGUUGGAGCUCAGCAGGGCGCCGACGAGAACGUACGGGAAGAGGCGGUAGACGCCGAUGGCGGUGUAGGUAACCCACCCAGCUCGACGAAGGUGAGGAAGAUGAGUAGGACGGGGGGUAGCCGGGGAUUUGAAGAGGACUCGGAAGGGCUACACGAGCAUGACCAGGUCGUCACUGAAUCGGAUCCGUCACCUCAUGCGGCUGAGCUGUUAGAGGACGAUGCAGAGGCUCUGGUCAAAGGCGACCAUGAUGGAUGUGUCACCGCCGGCCACGCGAUAGAGGAAGAAGGUGAGGCUCAAGAGCCGGCCAGCCGAGUGGACGUGCCGGUGCAGUUGUGACCGCUCGGGAGGUUGAAGGCAAGCGAGGGAGCUCAUGCGGCGACGUCGGCAAGGCUCGGUGGCGAGAUAGCGCAGAAGAGCGGUGCAGCGGAGCGACAACCACGAUGCUAGGGCGUUGCGGAGAGAAAGGAUGAAGAGAGAUAGGGCAAGGGAGUCCUACUGCUGGUGGAGGCACGCAGGAGGAGCUCGAGCAUCAGUUGGCGGGCGAAGCAAGGAGUCGCAGGGCUUUCCAGCGACUAUGAUGGUGCGGGUUGAUCUGGGGAGGCUGGGAGAGCUGCCUCCUAGGGGCGCUGGUUCGGGUUGACGUGUGCGUCAUGUGCACUGCUACAAAAUUGCUGGAUAUGUGUAUCUAUAUGUGUGCGGCUGCGAUUUGAAAGUCGUAGCAAUGCACAGGCUUAUAAUUAAAUAAUUAUAUAUCUUUACUUGUUCAGUAGCAACACAUGCUAGCAAGCAGCAGAGACAGUAUACUAUGUUGGCGAUCAUUUGGCGAGCGAGCAGUUGAAUUGCUGCUGGCAUGCAUUGUGCAGGGGCAUGUUCGCUUGGGUCUUGGGACGAAAUCGACUGAGUCAAUAAAUAAUUUUUUAAAAGGAUAUUAGACCCUCGGCCUCUGCAUCAUUCAUUAUGAUGCACACAAAUAUUUUUAGCAAAGUUAGCCAUGGGUCGAACCAUUAGAUAUCAAAUAGACAUCUACAACUAAGUCGACUUCUGCUGCAACAUCUCUUCAAGAAGGGAUAAACUUUCUCGCCAUCGACCGAAACAAUCCGUAAGAAGAAGAAAAUGAUCACACAUGUGAAACAUAAUUGUCAAUACAAAUACAUGACACAUGGUGGUACGAACACACAUCACGAUGGAAGAAUACCAGCAACUUAAAAGCAAGCCUACAUCAAAUCUAUAUUUCAUUAGUAUUUAGUCCAUAUUUUUAUUUCUAUCAACCUAAACUCCAAUUACGUUAAAAUUUAGGUUUGAACUGCAGAUAUGAGAUUUCGAAUUUAAAGAUUGAACGUAUAUUUAAAGUUCUCAUAGUAUGUGUCUAUUUUUUGGGGUGUCUUUUUACUCGAUAGGAAUCCAAUUCAAUGCUCAAAAUCAAAUAACAAGAUUAUUGCUACAUAUUUUGAUAAAGCUAAAUUUUACUUGAAUUUUGGAUGUAGUUUAGACAAAUAAUUCUCACUAAAUCUUACUAUGGGCCAAUUUUUCUCUACCGUUGCAACACACCGGAUCGAGAGUUUCCAAGAAAACAUUGUCAGUCAGAUGCAUUUACUCCAGAUCAUAACUCAUGUCCUAAGCUUCACGUCGUGAUCCUCAAAUCAUGCAUCUUUUUAUUUUCUCAUCAUCAACCGUUGUGACAUGACACAGUUCCUCGACCUGGCCAACCAUGGUUCAUAGGAACUGGUAUAUUUCUCCCGCUGCAACGCACGGGCAUUCGUGCUAGUAUUUUGAAACGGGAGUUAGUAGGUACACCAAUAAUUCGAUAUACCCACAAAAUGCUGGCUCUAGUUCCUUUCAUGGCUCCUUUGAUGUAAGAAAGAUGCUAGUAGUGACUAGAGACAAAGGGAAUCAAAUUAUGGGAGGAGGCGGCCCUAUCUAUAUUCCUCUUCUCCAAGCGGUAGCUCCCGUCCAUCCUUUGCCAAAAGUGGAGCAUCUCUCAUUUCCUUCUUCAUCUUCUCCUCCUCCUCCUUUCUUGAUGCUCACUCGCCUAUAAAUAGCUCUCGCUGCCUGCCAUUGUUACUCAAGCUAGCAAGCAAGAAGCACAAAAGAAGCCAACACCAAUCAAGGCCUCCAUCCAAUCCCAAGCAACCUCGAAGAUGUCUUGCUGCGGAGGAAGCUGCGGCAGCGCCUGCAAGUGCGGCAACGGCUGCGGCGGCUGCAACAUGUACCCCGAGGUCGAGGCCGCCGGCGCCACCCUCCUCGUCGCCGCCACCGCCACCCACAAGGCGUACGUCCCUUCUCUUUCCUCAUACAUCAUGCGCCUCGCUGUAAUAUGACUAUAUAUGUUGAUCUUGCUAUGGGACUAAGGAUGGAUGGAUGGGUGCAGGAGCUCCGGCGGGAUGGAGAUGGCGGCGGAGAAUGGCGGCUGCGGCUGCACCCAGUGCAAGUGCGGCACCAGCUGCGGCUGCUCCUGCUGCAGCUGCUAGAUCAUUGAUCAUCGAUCAUGCAUGCACCGCGCGCAUGCAUCAUAUCUAUGAUCGAUCCAUCCAUCCAUCUAGUACCAUGUAACGCUACCUGAUCGAGGGUCUUUGUAUGUAUGUAAGCACCUGCCAGCAUGAGCAGAGCAGGUGCACUCCCAUGCAUGUAAACCGACCCCUAAAUAAAAUCUCCCGUGGUUUAACCUAUACAUGUGUUUGUGUUAUAGACCAGCUUCUGGCCCAUGUUUACUAUCAACUUGCGAGGUGCCUGGGUUGCUAAUAGACCAGCUGAAUGCUCUCUUAAAGCAACGUAUGCACCGCUUGGAAUCGGUGUAUCUUUCUUUAUACACAUGUAUUUAUUUUACAGGUGUAUAUCAUCGGCCACACCUGGGAAAAACGAUGGAUGGAGAAGGGUAAAUUUACAGGGGUAUUGCUCUGUGAAACGAGGGUCGAAUCAGGGUCGUAAGGGUGUUUGAUACGUGUGAAUAUUACUGGCCGAAGUUGAGUAUGAGAUACAUACAAUACAAACUUGACACUUUUGAAAGUCGUGCUAUCAAUCAUGAGACACAUAGUUUAGCCAAAUUCUCGCUUAAUCUUUGUCAAAGGGUGUCACGUACUCACGUCUGGUUUGGCCAACCCCAUGAUCCGAUAUGUAUCCCACUCUUUGUGGUUUUCGAUGAAUAAAAUUUGGUUAAACCCUAAAAAAAACUUAUUUUGC